AACUGUGAAUUAAAACGUCCAGUAUUACAAUCAACUCAGUCACACCAACGAUGCAUGAAUACUAAUGAGAUAAAUCAGAACCAAUCUCUCGAACUUAGUAACUAAAUCACGGACAGCAUAUUAGUCAAUGCCCAAUUCAAAGAAAACAGAUAAAUAUUGAGUCAUUUAUACCAUAUAUUUUUCUUCAAUGAACAAAACUCUCAAGCAGAUUCAGUACAUGAAAGAUGAGCUACUAAGCAUUUGAUAAUGAAUAACCAACUAAUCACGAGCUGAAAUGACAAAUUUCUCACAUUUAAUUAAGAGCUAAAAGGAAAAAAUUUAGAGAAAAGAGUUGAAUGACUCGAAAGAAUAUGAAAACUGAAAUUCAGCAUGAAUAUCAUCCAUUAACUUAAUAGCACUAGUACAUCCUCCACAAAAGCAUGCUUUCAUUCCAUUUGGCAUCAAGGUUCAAAGGAGUUCUUGGAUACAAAUAGUGAACAGAUUAAGAAAUGUGUCUCUGAAAUCAUGAGUAGCAGCAACAAAACAACUGGAAAAAUGGCCAAGGGAUAGCUUAAACAACCCAACAAAUGACACUGGAAGACAACACACUUGAUAAAACCAAAAAUCCAACUGUAAUCUCAAAAACCAAUGAGGAUCUAAUGCAAGGCAUUGCUCAAUGAUAAGUAUAUUCAUUAUUUUCAUAAAGAGGGAUUCAAAUCUGAAAUCUGAUUUAAAAUUGAUCUUUGAAAGAUGAUGGAAAGAAAGCUGAAUGCUUCAGAGGGUUUUUAGGUGCCCGAUCCAUGUGUUUUUGAAAGGGAGAAGAGUCGUGUGUGUAUAUAUAUAUAUAUAUAUAUAUAUAUAUAUAUAUAUAUAUAUCCAAUGAAAUAUGUCACUUGCUCCUUAAGAUAAGGGAAUCAUUCCCUUUAAACAACCCU
This 914-nucleotide long non-coding RNA is filed under the name Nicotiana benthamiana. RNAcentral's name for it is "long non-coding RNA (NBEN_LNC027945)". Lineage: Eukaryota; Viridiplantae; Streptophyta; Magnoliopsida; Solanales; Solanaceae. The record is from RNAcentral.